This 14917-nucleotide long non-coding RNA is filed under the name Setaria viridis. RNAcentral describes it as "long non-coding RNA (SVIR_LNC001650)". The record is from RNAcentral. Lineage: Eukaryota; Viridiplantae; Streptophyta; Magnoliopsida; Poales; Poaceae.
CAAAAUAAGGUUAAAAAUACAUAUGCAUACAAGGACUUGCGCAUAAAAGAAAACCAAUAUAGGUCUGCAUAUAAGGAUAACUAAAACUCUAAAAAGUUAUAAAUAUAAGAAUAAAAGAAUCUAAGGAAAUAAUCCUACCAAAUAUGGGUCAAAAAUAAGAGAAGAAUAUAGAACAAAUAAAUAAAAUUAAGAAGAUAGGAAACACAAGUAGAAUAAAAUAAAGCCAACCCUACAAAUAGCACCCACGAAAACAAUAUACACCUUGGGUAACUAAAAGCUUUGAAAAAUAAGGAAAUAAAACUAGUCUUAAGAGACUAAGCUUAAACUAGAAAUAAAAAGUAGAAGAGUAAAUAGACGUAAGAAUGAGAAAGUUGAAAAAAUAAGGUUAACAACUGUUGACGCCAGAUUUUGACACAUGUCUAAUCGGCGUCAGGGAAAGAAGAAACCAGAAGAAACGGCGAGACACAGGGAUGGCGGUUGGAAAUCGGCCGAUUGGUGCUACAGUUAUGGAUCGGCCGAUUGACCUUUGGAGUUCCGCCUCGCCCGACCCUACUGGGAUCGGAUGUGCCCAACCCUCCAAGGGAGGAUCUCCGCCUCGCCCGAUCCCAGGGUCGGAGUAGUCUGAGCCCUUGACACGUGGGUCCUAAUCGGUUGUCCCUUGCCGAUGAGGUGAAUAGAAAAUGGCCGAUUAGGAGGUUGGAAUAAUUGGGCCGGUGUGGGCCUAAAGAAGAUUAUGAAGAUGAAGAAGGAAUCAGCCCAUGAAGAGCGUGAUAAUCGACCUAGUACGAAUCGUACUUGUAAAUAUUCAUUUUCUGUUUAAGUUUAGGGAUAGAGUUCUAAUCGGAUAAGAAGUCGUUUGUAACAGGCUAUACAUAGCUGCCUUUGUAGAUCUGUAAUCAUCAUCAACUCAAUACAACAAACUACUACUUCCUCAUACUUACUUUGAAGCCGGCGACUUUGCCAAUACUUUUCUCUUUUCACGAGUUCGUACGGGUUGGCGGGGUUGCAUUAACUUGACCUCCGGCCGAUCUUGUAAGUUCCGCUUAUCGAAUAAUUUCUAAGUUUUAACUUCGGGCGCAUCGCUGUUGUUUCGUUUAGAUUUAUUCAUCAAUUAUCGAUAUUUACUAGAAUUUUAGGUUUUACCUGUUGUUCUGGUUUUAUCACUAGUUAUCCAGCUAGGAAUCGGCAAUUUCGGCUUUUCUUGUAUUUCGUCAUUUGAUCUAUUUAUUUCACGCAUAGCCGAUUAGAUCUGUUCCUAGUGUUGUUACUGUAGCGUUGUUUAGAUUACUCCAGUGGUUUUCUUUAUCGACGUUGCCUGGUAAUCGGUCACAUUGUAACCGAUUUCCUCAAUAUAGCAAAUCGGCCGAUUCGCUGAUAAGCUUUCUCGAGAUCGGAACUUUAGCCGAUCGCUACCUCUGGGAUUUGACACGUUUCUCUCCUUGCCAAUCAACAGGUCAGAUUGGCUGGCACGCCGCGCGAACCGCACUAGGGCGAUCACCCGAACAGGGGCUAAGCAGAUUCUCCCGGGUCGUGUGUCCGACGCUAGGGAUUCGAUCAGUCGAUUUCUAGCGCCAACACACUUUUGGCACGCCCGGUGGGACCGAUACAACCGCUACUAUGUCGAAAGCUGCUGAAGUCUCGGAAGAUAACGUCAUCGAAGUGACAGAAGCAGACCUCAGGGAUGACCAGAGGGAAGAAUUAGAGAAGCAGACGGCAUACUACCGGAAGACAUGUCUGCAGUCCUUCAGUCGCACCAGGAGUGGAGAGACUGUCAAAAAGACUCCGUUUCCAACUCCCCGCCAGAUCACAAUCACCGAGGACUCGGACAAGAUGUCCGAGAUGGUUCAACAAUCUGUCUAUCAAGCUUUCAUCGAUCAAUCCCCGGUGAUUUCUAAUACGGUAUACAAUGCCGUCAUCAGCUCCUUAGCUAGCGGCGUAUCUCAAGGGUACCAGGGGCCGGCAUAUGCUCCGCCAAUUACAGCUCCGAACAAGAGUUAUUCAAAUACACCUUAUUCGGCUGCUCAGCCGACCCAAAUUCCAGUUGGAGGUUCUGGCGCUUCCUCAUCAUCGAUCCCUAUGGGGUUUAAUGGUGCGCAAUAUCUCCAGCCGCGUCCCAUUCAGUUGUCCUCCUCGCAGUUUCCUCCGUUAAAUCCAGCGCCUUGGGGGGCACCAUCAGUGACGGCCGCCUAGGAUCAACCGGCCAACCAUGGAAGUCCUCAACUCCAGGCAUCUUUCCAGGCGGCCGCUAGGCCAAUCAUGCCGCAGUAUCAGCCUGUCGCACCGGAGAUGAGCAGGGCGGCAGAAACAACGGAGGUACUUCGGGGCGUUGCACCACUCGUGCUGUAUGAUGAAGCGGGCGGCUCAUUCAGGCAGCCGAUCCUGACUACGCAGCCGACUAUGACACAUCAGACGCCGCACAUUUUCACUCAGCAUCAAGUCACCCCGCCGCCGGUAUACCAGCACGUACCGGUUCCCCAGCCGAUAGCUCACCAGCAACAGCCAGACUGGACGGCGCGCAUAGCGGAGGUGAUUCAAGAACAAUUCGGCUUAAAACCGAAGGUGCAGACCUACACAUACAAGACACCAUACCCGCCUACAUACGACUCGCUGCCGUUUCCCCAUCGGUAUAAAGUUCCCGAUUUCACUAAGUUCUCGGGGCUGGAUGACACUUCAACUGUGGAACACGUGAACAGAUUCAUCAUCCAAUGUGGGGAAGCAGCGGCGCAAGAUGCUCUACGGGUGCGCCUUUUCUCGUCAUCCCUGUCUGGGUCGGCCUUUCAGUGGUUCACCACGUUACCGCCCAACUCGAUAAUUACAUGGGCCGAUCUGGAAAGGCAAUUUCAUAAAUACUUCUACGCCGGAAUACAUGAGAUGAAGCUGUCCGAUUUAACCAGCCUCAGACAGAGAAGCGACGAGCCGAUUUCCUCAUAUGUGCAAAGGUUCAGGGAAAUCAGGAACAAGUGCUACUCCCUAGCCCUGACCGAUGCGCAAUUGGCCGAUAUAGCCUUCCAGGGUCUCCUGCCUCAUAUCAAAGAAAAGUACGCUUCGCAGGAGUUUGAGAGCUUAAGCCAAAUCGUCCAUCGACUGUCUGGUCAAGAAGUACGCCCUUUUGAUCCACGGAGAAACUUCCAGAAGAAGGUGGCAUACUUAGAAGGGUUUGAAACGGAAGAAGAAAUAGAGAUCGGCCUUGCAGAAUGGAUUAAAGGGAAAAAGCCGAUAUCGUGUCCAUUCGGAAAAAAGGAGCCGGAAACGUUCGGAUUUGACACAUCAAAGGCCGAUAAAAUUUUUGAUCUUCUCCUCCAGGAAGGACAGAUUAAACUCUCGCCGUACCAUACGAUUCCGUCUGCCGAACAGCUGAAGAAGAUGAAAUAUUGCAAGUGGCAUAACGCCACCUCCCAUGAUACGAAUGAAUGCAAAAUCUUCCGGCAGCAGGUACAGUCAGCCAUCGAGCAAGGCAGACUCAAAUUUGAAGUUCCAACAAAACCAGCCAAGCCGAUGAAGAUCGACCAGCACCCCUUCCCCACCAACAUGGUUGAUACGGGGAGGAAUUCGCUCCAAACCAAGGUACUGACGUCCGAAUCGGCUAAGCAAAGCGGCGCCGUGGACCCCAGGAAUCAAGCAACACCCGAAGACGUCAAGGGAAAACGGCGAAUGGAAGAUGAUGACGACGGAAUGGGAGAACCACGUAAGCCCAUCACUUCCCAAUUUCUGCUCAAUAAGUAUCAGCGGCAACAUGAACGCUCGAGAUCCCGGGAAGAGGCGAUGCGGCGACAUGAAGAUCACUGGCGAUGUCCGUUCUUCAUCCACUGUUGGGAAAGCAACCUCAGGUUGCCAUCGGCCGAUAAUUGCCCCGAGUGCAACGGCCCGUAUCGUAACAAUCGGCCGUUCAGAAGGUCUCGCUCCAGAGAUGGGAAAUCAGAGCCGAUCAGCAGGAACUGGCGCGACCAAGAAGACCGGCGCCCUCCAGUACGUGAUCGGCUGGGGGGCAGAAGUGACCGAUAUGACCGGUCGGAAGGCAGGCGCGAGCGAAACGAUAGGCCGGGGGGCAGAUUUGAUCAACAUAACCGGCCAGAAAACAAGGUUAGCAUCCACAGUCGACUUGAAGAAAUGGCCGAUGCUCGGGUAUCAGACGAGAGUCCUUUAGGAAGUAAACCAGAAUGGGAACGCGCCAGGCCACAGACCAAACUAGUAAACCCCAGGUGGUGCCCUGAUGGAUUGACCAAAUCUCAAAAAAGAAGAAUCCAACGUCUCCGCCAAUGGGAACAGCAGGAAGAAGAACAACGGCAUACGACGGAUGAGAAAAACGGCAGGUCUCAGGUCUGGUGCCCCAAAAGAGGCGACAGGGUAUACGACAAAUUGGCAGCCGACAUCGGCAUGGUUUUCAUACUGCCGAUGGAGUUCAUGACUCCUGCCGACCGACAGAACAUGUCAGCAAUAGAAGAGCAGAUGGCACAAUUGGCUUUAGAACGAAUGACAGCCACGUUCGAGAAACCCGAAGAUGACAAACGACAACACCUGAAGGCGUUGUUUCUUAAAGGGCAUGUCAACGGCCGACCCAUCACCAGAUUACUGGUGGACGGAGGAGCUGCAGUUAACAUCAUGCCGUACGCCAUGUUCCGGAAGCUAGGGAAGAGCGAUGACGACCUGACCAGGACAGAUAUGAUGCUCAAGGACUUCGAAGGCAACGUAUCCCCCGCUCGCGGCGCUCUCUGCGUCGACCUCACCAUCGGCAGUAAGAACCUUCCUACUACUUUCUUUAUCAUUAAUGGCAAGGGGGUCCUACAACAUGCUACUCGGCCGAGACUGGAUACAUGCAAAUUGUUGUAUCCCGUCUACAAUGCAUCAAUGCCUCGUGCAAUGGGUCGGCGACAAUAUCGAGGUGGUUACCGCCGAUUCCGCAUACAGCGUCGCGGCAGCCGACACGCAGUAGUGGAGCUGCGAGAACGUCAAAUGCAUAUCCGGGAGAAUAUGGGACACUGAUUUCUUGAAGGUGUCCGAUUUUGGCCUGCAGCCGAUCCGAGCAGUCGGCUCCGAAGACUCAGACUAAAUGGAUCAGUUCGCCCGAGAAGAUGGGAAGCUGGGACACGGAUUCACGUCGGCCGAUUCAUUAGAAAUGAUAGACUUAGGCGAUGGCUCCAAACCAAGGCCGACAUAUAUUAGUGCAAAUUUGGAUCCGAAAUACAAAUGUAAAUUGACAAAUUUAUUAAGAGAAUUCAAGGAUUGCUUUCCUUGGGAAUACCAUGAGAUGCCCGGAUUAGACCGAUCUAUUGUUGAGCAUCGGUUACCCAUAAAGCCGGGGUAUCGGCCGUAUCAACAGCCUGCACGGCGAUGUAAUCCUAAAAUCCUACCAGACAUAAAAGCCAAAAUAACGCGGCUAAUUGAAGCGAAAUUUAUUCGGCAAUGCCGUUAUGCCGAAUGGAUCUCCAACAUUGUACCAGUAUACAAGAAGAACGGAAAGCUACACGUAUGCGUCGAUUUCAGGAACCUCAAUUAGGCCACACCAAUGGACGGAUACCCCAUGCCGACCGCCGAUGUGCUGAUAGAUGCCGCCGCAGGACACAAGGUUAUUAGUUUUAUGGAUGGAAACGCUGGGUAUAAUCAGAUACUAAUGGCCGAAAAGGACAUAUCCAAAACAGCCUUCAGAUGCCCGGGUCACCUUGGUUUAUUCGAGUGGGUGGUAAUGACUUUCGGUUUGAAGAACGCCGGCGCUACGUAUCAGAGAGCCAUGAAUUACAUAUUUCACAAACUUAUCGGCAUACUAGUAGAAAUUUACAUCGACGACGUCGUAGUCAAAUCAAAAGGACACCAAGAGCACCUGGCCGAUUUGCGACAAGUACUGGAAUGCACGAAGAAACAUGGGCUGAAGAUGAACCCGAAUAAAUGUGCCUUCGGCGUAUCCGCCGGACAAUUCUUAGGAUUCAUGGUGCAUGAGCGGGGAAUAGAAAUCAACUGGAAGACCAUAGCGGCCAUCAAUAAAACUGAGUUGCAAUCUCUAAUCGGCAAGUUGAAUUUCAUAGGAAGAUUCAUAUCUAAUCUGUCUGGGCGAAUCCAAGCCUUCACACCAUUAUUAAAGUUGAAGCCCGACCAGGAGUUCAUAUGGGGGGAAGAGCAACGCAAGGCAUUAGAAGAUAUCAAGCAGUACUUGGUCUCACCACCAGUAUUGGUCCCACCUCAAACUGGUAAGCCGUUUAAACUAUACUUAUCAGCUGAUGAACGAGCUAUCGGGUCGGCUCUGGUCCAGGAGUUCGAGGGAAAGGAACGAGUAAUUUAUUAUGUCAGUAGAAGACUUCUGGACGCCGAAACAAGGUAUCCUCCAGUAGAACGGUUGUGCCUAUGCCUUUACUUCUCAUGCACCAAACUCAGGCACUAUUUGCUAUCGGCAGAAUGUGUGGUCGUAUGCAAAGAUGACGUGGUAAAGUACAUGCUGUCAUUGCCGAUCUUGAAAGGACGAAUCGGAAAAUGGGUUUUAGCUUUGUCGGAGUUUGAUCUUCGAUAUGAAUCGGCAAAGGCCGUUAAGGGUCAGGUCAUGGCCGAUUUCGUUGCCCAGCACUAUGGACCAGAGGCCACCUUCGUGGAACCAGUACCUUGGACCUUAUACUUUGAUGGAUCAUCAUGUGGGGCCGGGUCAGGAAUCGGCAUCGUCCUCAUAUCGCCUCGGGGGGCAAGCUAUGAUUUCUCUCUGCUGAUAGAAGCAUCCGCCACUAACAAUCAAGCAGAGUACCGAGCUGUACUGAAGGGGUUACAAUUAUUAAGGGAAGUCAGGGCUAAUUCUGUCGAAAUUUUUGGGGAUUCCAUGCUUAUCGUGGAUCAAUUAACAGGGAGGUCCGAAUGCAAGGAUGAUGUGUUGAGGAUUUAUUACGAAGAUUGCCUGCGGCUUCUGAAAGAAUUCAAGUCUGUAGUUAUUGAGCACAUCCCAAGGAAUCACAACGAGGAUGCCAAAAAGCUCGCCCAACAUGCAUCUGGGUAUCGACCGAUUCAAGGCGCUAUGGCUCUAGAGCUCGCGGCCAAUGACUGGCGAAAAGAGAUCGCCGAUUACCUGAAGGAUCCAUCUAAGAAAGUGGAUCGGCGGGUAUGAUUUCAUGCUACCAAAUAUGUGUUACUGGAAGACGACUUGUUCUACCUAACAAUUGAUGGCGUCCUACUCAAGUGUCUAGGAACGGAGGAGGCUAAGACUCUGAUGGGAGAAAUCCACGAAGGAGUGUGUGGAGCCCACCAGUCGGCACAUAAGAUGAAAUGGAUGAUUAGGAAUAAUGGGUACUACUAGCUGACGAUCCUCGAAGAUUGCUUCAAAUACUAUAAAGGAUGCCAGGAUUGUCAGAAAUACGGGAAUGUCCAACGUGCGCCCGCAUCGGCCAUGAAUCCCAUUAUCAAACCAUGGCCGUUCAGAGGAUGGGGAAUAGACCUCAUUGGCCAAAUCUAUCCUCCGUCAAGCAAAGGGCACAAGUUCAUUCUGGUGGCCACAGAUUAUUUCACCAAAUGGGUGGAGGCGAUUCCGCUAAAGGCCGUAACAUCGGCCGCUAUGGUUGACUUUGUAAGGGACCAUAUCGUCUACUGUUUCGGCAUUCCCCAAACUAUCACGACCGAUCAAGGAACGAUGUUUACGUCAGGAGAAUUCGAAGAAUUCACGGCCGAUAUGGGAAUCAAAUUGUUAAACUCCUCUCCGUACUACGCCCAAGCUAAUGGCUAGGCCGAAUCUUCCAACAAAGGGAUAAUUAAGUUAAUCAAGAGGAAGAUAGAAGAGCAGCCGAAAAAAUGGCAUUUAUGUGUGACCGAAGCCCUAUGGGCAUACAGGAUGGCUUGCCACGGGGCCACCAAGAUGUCCCCUUAUCAGUUGGUGUACGGUCACGAAGCAGUGCUACCAUGGGAACUGAGGACGAGAUCGAGACGCACUUCGCUCCAGGACCAGUUGGCGGCCGAUGACUACUCCUCACUCAUGAAAAGGGAACUUGAUGACUUGGCUGGCCAACGAUUGAGAGCUUUGAUAAGUAUUGAAGAAAACAAGAAGAAAGUGGCCAGAUGGUAUGAUAAGAAGGUCAAAGUCAAGCAAUUCUCUCCGGGAGAUCUGGUAUGGAAGUUAGUGUUGCCGAUCGGGUCAAAAGAUCCUAAAUUCGGUAAGUGGUCCCCUACGUGGGAAGGGCCAUAUAAAAUCGGCAGAUGUGCUCCAGGAAACGCUUAUAUUCUGGAAACGAUCGAAGGAGAAGAGUUUACUAGGGCUUUGAACGGAAGAUACUUGAAAAGGUACUACCCUAGUAUAUGGGUCGCGGCAUAAGGAUCAAUCAUAACGAACAAACACAAAGCUGAUACAAAAAGAAUCGUCUAAAGAAAAAACCAUAAUCGUCCAAAUCGGCCGAUAUAUUAUUCGGUUCGGACGAUGGGUUACACGGCCGAUACGGUACAAGUCGCCCUUAGAACAAAAAAAUAAUUAACCAUGCCUCUUCUUAAGCUCUCUCUCAACCCGACCUAGUUCUAUCAGAAGACGGAUGUGCCGUUCUUCUAUCUCUUUCAUCGCGGCCUCCGCUUCAACUUGACAGGGGAGAGGAUGACUCCGGUCCAUUGCCGGACGUGAUGUUCCUGCUGCUGCAUCUUCAAGGAUGAUUUGAUGAGGAAGCGCGUGACUUCUGUCGGCUUGAGGUCGCCGGUGGUCGUAGCCGUCAAGGAAGUCCCAGAUCCGUCGGAUGUCAGCAGGAACGUGCUCUUUGAGUUCAUCACGAUGGGCCCUGAUUAAAUCCUUGUCUUCUUGUGACAACGGUUCGUCGGAGUACACGAGUCCGAUGGCUCGCUCGAGCUCAGGACUAAGGCGCCGCGGCUGGGAAAAGCAACAAUAUACAUAUGGCCGCCGAAGAUGUGAUUCUCUUCAGAGGAAUUAAACUGAGAAAGAGAAUGAAGGCAAAUCUUUUACUUGAUUAACGGAGGAAAAGGAAGAGGAUGAAGAAGACAUGACUGAAAAGCGCGCCGACGAAAACAAGUCAGGGAAAGACGAAGCCGAGCUAGACGGGUACUCUCAAAACGGGGACCUAGGCCGGUGUUUAUAAGAAGAGAAGGCGUGGAUGUUUGGUAAGACGCGUCCCAUCGGAAGUAAAAAGGGUAAUAAAUAAGGGGGCGCCGCGAAGGGCGGGCAAAGGAGAUAUUAAUGUUCGUAGAAGAUUACCAGUGCUUUUACAGGUCGCCUAGAAGGGCGUUGAUAGCCGCAAUCGCUCGACGCCGGAUCUGAUCGGCCGAAUCCAGAACCCGUUGAUCAUCCUCCGCCGAUCCAGGGACUUCUAACAUGUGGCGGUGGAGUUUGAGAGCUUCGUGAGCCAGGUGCUGCCUCUCCCGUUUCAGAUCGGCGAUGACGGAAGGAAGUUCCUGAAGCCUCUUCUCUUCGGCGUUUAUUGCUUUGGUCACCUGCUCCAUCUCCUUGGCAAGCUCUGCUCUUCGGCGUUUGAGGCGAUCUAUUGUGCCGACGAUUCCCGGGCGAGAGUCUUCCAGAAAGUGGAUCCGUUGAUGCACCUCUUGAGCUUGACGCUUGUACGUGUCUUCUUCUUCACGAGUCUUGGCCAACUUGGCGUGAUCGGCCAUGUGACGCAGGGCCCUAAAGACCGGAAUCCUCAUUGACUCGAUAUACGUGGCCGGUGCCAAGGCUUCUUCUGCUUCUUCUGGUACUCGCCCGCUGACGUAACCAAAAAGCUACCGAAUCGGCGAGGCAUCUUCUACUAAUCGGCCGAUGUCCUCUUGAAGGAGAGAUCGUAUGCUUGCAAGUUUGGCACGAACGUCAUCAGGAACGGAGCUCAAAGUGACCUGACGGGAGGCGACUUCCUCGUCAUCGGAGAGUGUGACCGCGAACGAAAAAAGACUGUUGUUGGGGGUGUCCUGUUCCUGGAAAAUAGUAAAUCAAAAAGAAAACAAAUCAGCCGAUGGUGAUAGCAAAUCGGCUGAUUAAGGGUGGGGAAUCUCUUACCUCCUUGAAACGGAUUUCUUCAAGCUGUGUUUGAGGGACCGUUACCCUCAACUCUGGGACUGGAGCCAUUGGCUCGUCUGAAGAAGAGGACUCAACAACGAUCGGCGCUCUGCUCGGGCCAGCUUCUUGAGUAAUGACCGAUGGUUGAUUAGGCGGGGCGCUUGAUGUACCGGUAACCUGUAUCAAAAUUCAAUAAGAGCAUCAUCCAAAUACUAGAAGAAUGGGCCGAAGGAUGGUAUACCUCGGUAGAUGGAGGCGCUGGCGUUUCGUCGACCGCUUGGGCUACUGCCGAUUGCUGGGGGUCCACGAGGGUGAUUUGUGCAGUCUAAUAUAAGAAGAGUCAGCAUAAGAGAUGGCGGUCAGAAAGAUCGGAUCACAAGUUUACCUGCAUGGCCUCUACCAGUAAUGACGCAGCGGCUGCUCUGGCUUCUGUGGCAACUUGAAUGUCGACUUCUCCAGCAGUUGAAAGGGGCGGCGCGACCGAAGUUUCUGCCGAUGUAAUCAUAGGAGGAUCGGCCGAUUCUAUACGAGCUCGUACUCGGCGACUGGUCUUGACAACCUUCUUCUGCGAUUGCUUCGCUCGACCGGCAAUAACAUCCACGAAAGGAGCAUGAUAGCCGAUAAGGGGGAAGGUGGUAUAUGGAUAAUGGUCCUCUAUCGGCCGGCCACUCCGGCUGCGUUUUGGGGGAACGCGGUUCUCAGACUGAGUCAACAGCAAGAGUUAGUAUAUACGUUUAACAACAUUAAUAGCGAAUGAAAAUCGGCUAGGAAGAAAUACCUCGGCAUUCGGGUCGAUGUUGGCUGGAUCAAGAAGGUUGCAGUAUGUCGAUACAGAGGUGCAGAACAGGUACUGUUUCCAUUCGGCCCACCAUAGCUUGAAUGGUUGAACGGCGAAGGGGGCUACUAUCCAUUCAUUUAGGUCUAUGGUACUGGAGUCUGGGAUCCGAUCUCGCAGCCGAUUAUAGUCAAGGCCCUUGGUGAGUUCAUCUCUGAACUUUGCUCGGCCGGCGAAGUACGCCUGAAUCGGCAAUUGACCUAUGCCGAACUGCCGUGCCGCAACGGAGGGGUUGUAGAACUCAUAUGUAGGAGCAUCUUUCCCCGAGAAGAAGUUGGCUGGUAAGAUUCCCGGUUUAAUUAAUUCGUCUGUGAGAUCUUCGUCGAAUCGGCCAGUAGUCGAGUCAAAGCAAGAAGGGAGCUCAAAGAUUGGAUCAUCUCUCUGAUAAGGGAACCAGACGGUUGCGUCUUCACUAAAGCCGUUGUAAAAACACCGGAAGUAUUCGGCCACCUUGGUAGCAGAGUACGAGCAACCGGAGAAGGCCGAUGCCGCUUCGCCGAAGGAUGUACAUCGGCGUCGGACAGUGGGAUUCUCUGCCGAUUCAAUAUUGGGGAACGUCAUGUGCUCCUCUCGUUGCUGAGAGAUCUUGCUCAUGUACAGGUUAAGCCAUAAGUUAGUAAACCACCAGGGUCCACCUGGGUUUCCAAUCGGCUCCCCUUGGGAUAAUUUGACGCCGAUUUGGUGAAGCAUGUGGUAGGCUACUCCCAGUAGGUGCUUUCCAAGGGGAACGGAAGUCCGUAUCGAUAAUGCCUCGGCCAGAGCUUGAGUGUUGGUGGAUGGACCAGCUGCUCUCCCACAGAAGAAAUGUUUCUCUAACCACAUCAUCAGGAAGGCCGUGUGUUCUCUGUUCUCGACUGAUCCGGCCCUUCUGUUACAUCUGAUGAACCCCUUCCAUCUGCCGAUUCCCCUUGUGUCCAGCCGAUGAGUUGUCGUGGCUAAAAGGCGAAAAGGGGUGUCCGGGGAGGAAAUGUCCAGGCCGGUCAGCAAGACUACAUCGGCCAGAGUGGGGGUCAUGGGUCCGUGUCCAAAAAGGAAUGCAUUGAGAGCGUCGGACCAGAAGUAAGAAGCUGCCAUCACUAAUGGCUUGUUCCGUUCCAUUUGGGACAAGGAUAGAUCGAUGCACUGGCCGAUUUUGAGCUCGUCCCAUUGGACCUUCUUGGAGGCGGCUAUCCGCUGGUACCAUUCCCUCCAGCCGGGAGUUUCAUUCGGCCAUGACCUAAAGGUACCCGACCAAUGAUCUAGGUCCAUAGUUGAUUGCUUGAAAGGGAUCCUAUGGGUUUCCAAAUUGAUUAAGUCAGUUGGAUCUGGGUUUCCCAUGGGACCAAGGCAGAUAAGGCCGGGAGUUUCUGUGAGGCGAAUGGUAAUGUGAUGCCUAACCGCCUAAAAAAGGAAAAAGGGGGUGCAGGAGUAAGAAAUAGAUCUAAAGUAAAUGCAUUACUGAUAGGGAAAGUUUCGGUAAUGACCUCCGGGAUGAAGCUCCUCGUAAUCAGCGGGAUCACCGGUGCAGCUGCAGAUGAUGAAGCCGCCAAUGGGAUUUCGGUUGAAGUCCCAACUUCCACUAAUGGAGUUCCUUCUCCCGUCGAUGGAGCCAUCGCUGUUGCUGCUGGAACCUCCACCGAAGGCGCCAUCUCCGGAGCUUCGGGUGCUGGUGAAGUGGUUGAGGGUGCCGCCAUUGGAGAAGUGGGGAGGAAUGGAAGGAAGGAGGCACCGGAGAAAACUGGAGGACUAAGGAAAGCGCCCGAGGAAGAAGAAGACCGGUGCGUUAAAGGAGGAAGACGUGAGCUCGUACGGGGAGUACGGGGCGUACUGAUAUUUAAAGGUGGUCUCAGAAGGGGUAAAAGUGUAAUUUUUACCGCGCUGGCGUUUCGAUUUUUUCGGGAGGAGUGGUUGUCGUGGGCGCCCGUUUCGAAAAAAUUGCAAUCAUCAGGCUGGAGACCGCGAAACGGAAGGAUAUUUUCAAUGCGUUCGUUUUGGAAGGGAAGUUGAAAGGAAUUUCGAAGUAAAGACUAUGUUUUACUCCGAAACUGGGGGGCAUGUGUUGACGCCAGAUUUUGACACAUGUGUAAUCGGCGUCAGGGAAAGAAGAAAUCAGAAGAAACGGCAAGACACAGGGAUGACGGUUGGAAAUCGGCCGAUUGGUGCUACAGUUAUGGAUCGGCCGAUUGACCUUUGGAGUUCCGCCUCACCCGACCCUACUGGGAUCGGAUGCGCUCAACCCUCCAAGGGAGGAUCUCCGCCUCGCCCGAUCCCAGGGUCGGAGUAGUCUGAGCCCUUGACACGUGGGUCCUAAUCGGUUGUCCCUUGCCGAUGAGGUGAAUAGAAAACGGCCAAUUAGGAGGUUGGAAUAAUUGGGCCAGUGUGGGCCUAAAGAAGAUUAUGAAGAUGAAGAAGGAAUCAGCCCAUGAAGAGCGUGAUAAUCGACCUAGUACGAAUCGUACUUGUAAAUAUUCGUUUUCUGUUUAAGUUUAGGGAUAGAGUUCUAAUCGGAUAAGAAGUCGUUUGUAACAGGCUAUAAAUAGCUGCCUUUGUAGAUCUGUAAUCAUCAUCAACUCAAUACAACAAACUACUACUUCCUCGUACUUACUUUCAAGCCGGCGACUUUGCCAAUACUUUUCUCUUUUCACGAGUUCGUACGGGUUGGCGGGGCUGCAUCAACUUGACCUCCGGCCGAUCUUGUAAGUUCCGCUUAUCGAAUAAUUUCUAAGCUUUAACUUCGGGCGCAUCGCUGUCGUUUUGUUUAGAUUUAUUCAUCAAUUAUCGAUAUUUACUAGAAUUUUAGGUUUUACCUGUUGUUCUGGUUUUAUCACUAGUUAUCCAGCUAGGAAUCGGCAAUUUCGGCUUUUCUUGUAUUUCGUCAUUUGAUCUAUUUAUUUCACGCAUAGCCGAUUAGAUCUGUUCCUAGUGUUGUUACUGUAGCGUUGUUUAGAUUACUCCAGUGGUUUUCUUUAUCGACGUUGCCUGGUAAUCGGUCGCAUUGUAACUGAUUUCCUCAAUAUAGCAAAUCGGCCGAUUCGCUGAUAAGCUUUCUCGAGAUCGGAACUUUAGCCGAUCGCUACCUCUGGGAUUUGACACGUUUCUCUCCUUGCCAAUCAACAGGUCAAAUUGGCUGGCACGCCGUGCGAACCGCACCAGGGCGAUCACCCGAACAGGAGCUAAGCAGAUUCUCCCGGGUCGUGUGUCCGACGUUGGGGAUUCGAUCAGUCGAUUUCUAGCGCCAACAACAACUAAUAAGCAUAGUAAUUCCUGAAAAUAAGUAUCAACAUGGGUAUACAUACGAAGAUGAUCAAAACCUUAAAAUUAUAGUGUCAACACCCAAGGAAAUAUGUAAAAAAAAGGGCUCGGUUAAUUAGGACCAAGAAUAAGAAACAUAGGUAAAGAAAAUAAAACUAAACAUACCAAUGAAUUAUACCCUAAGUAAAACCUUUAGGAAACAAGGUGGAGUAACAAAACGUGAAACUAAAAAUGUAAUUAUAUACCUCCAACAAAUACAACCAUAAGGGUAAAAAAAUAGGGGUAAAAACAAACUAAGGCUAAUAAUGGUAAUACAUAACUCACAUGAAAUAAGGAGGGGAAAAGUAACCUAAGGAAAUUAGAAAUAAUACUAAUAAAAACUCAUGAUAAAAGGGAAUAGAGAAAACCUAAAGAACUCAAGGAUAAAAAUAAAUACUAGAGCAUGACCAAACCAAUAAAUAAGAGAAUAAGAUUAGAAAUAUUAGUAAAAUGAGAAGUAGUAAUAAUAAACCUAUGGAAAACCCAAGGAAUAGAUAACAUCCCGACCUUUUCUUUUCAACCCUCAUGUCACUAAGGCAAUAAGGACAGAGAUCCUGGAAUAAUUUUACAUAGGAUACCCUUAAAGCCAAGGAGGUAGGAAUGAUAAUAACAAAUAACCCAUAAAAAGUAAAGAGAAUAAAGUCAAACCAGAAGUCAUAAAGAAGAUAAAAUAUGUACACAUACUAGGGAAAAGAAAAUGGACAAUAGGAUACAAAAAAGAGAAAAUCCCCCCUUAGAGGUCGAUAGAAAGAAACAAAUUCGAUAGACUACCAUAUCUAGAUGAGAAGAAAUUAACCUGGAAUCAAAUCAUCGAGGAGUUUGUUUGCCUCGAUGAAUAGGAAUCCUGCCACUCCAUCCCUUAAGGACAAACCCAC